Molecule: ribosomal RNA, 475 nt
Filed under: uncultured bacterium
Lineage: Bacteria
Description: bacterial SSU rRNA
Rfam family: Bacterial small subunit ribosomal RNA
Source: RNAcentral
CGAACGUUUGCGGCGGGCCUAACACAUGCAAGUCGAACGCACUAGCAAUAGUGAGUGGCGCACGGGUGCGUAACACGUGGGUAAUCAACCCUUCAGCCUGGGAUAACGACUCGAAAGGGUCGCUAAUACCGGAUACGGCGCGAGAGGCUUCGGCUUCUCACGAGAAAGCCACGCAAGGGGCACUGAAGGACGAGCCUGCGGCCCAUCAGCUAGUUGGUGAGGUAAGAGCUCACCAAGGCUAAGACGGGUAGCUGGUCUGAGAGGAUGAUCAGCCACACUGGAACUGAGACACGGUCCAGACUCCUACGGGAGGCAGCAGUGGGGAAUAUUGCGCAAUGGGCGAAAGCCUGACGCAGCCACGCCGCGUGAGCGAUGAAGGCCUUCGGGUCGUAAAGCUCUGUGGGGAGAGACGAAGAAAGCCUGUGAAGAGCAGGCCUUGACGGUAUCUCCCUAGCAAGCACCGGCUAACUCCGUG